Bombus impatiens (common eastern bumble bee) is the source of this 1718-nucleotide RNA transcript. It is a transcript of the gene named BLOC-1-related complex subunit 6, with no coding region annotated. Lineage: Eukaryota; Metazoa; Arthropoda; Insecta; Hymenoptera; Apidae. The record is from RefSeq and is a predicted model, not a curated record. The transcript is spliced from 4 exons.
AUCGUUUUAGUAGAAACGUCCCUUAAGGAUCGAUAAUUGUGACAGUAUUAUUCCAUUAUAUCAAUUGUGACGUACGUCAAAUAAAAGGGACGUUUGUUUUAUUAUAAAGGACUGGAAAAAUAAAUUGUUUUUUAAAUAUGGAAUCAGAGGAAGGGGAAACAUAUCCGAAACAAGGAACAACAAUACGUAGUGAAAAGAAUGCAGCUAUCGACUACGAUGAAGACAGACUACAUGAGAUGACAGCGUCAUAUUCGGAAAUAUCAUUCGAUUCACAAUCAUCUCCACCCGUUUCGGAGUUAAGAUCGCUGAUCGAUUCACCAGAUAUUGAUGGAACAAAAUUUUUAGAUGGUAGCCUAGAGAAAAUGAACGGAAUUGGUGGUAGACCAGACCAGCUAAAUUUAAGGAAUAGAGAAUCUAGUCCAAUAGAGGACGACGAUAUAGAUCCCCCAAGUUAUCACAAAGCCAUGGGAUAUUUGCAACUUGAGGGGACAGUAAUGCAAGAUGGUGAUAUGGUACUGUUUGUUGCGGAAGAUUUAGAAAACAAAAUUAAACUGUCAAGUCCUGUAACAAAAAAGGGAGAAACUCCAUCUUUUCCGGGUUCUCGCAGUUCUACUCCUUGUUUGUACAGGCAAGCCUUAACGCCUCAGGUGCCUCUUCUUGAUCAUAAUGUGUUAAAUGAAUUAGAGAUGGAAGCGAGAAAAGUGGCCACCUCUGUUGAUGCAUUAACAGAAAAUUUGGCAGCCAUUUUGCAUAGUUUACUUUUAGGCAUCUGCACUCACCGUAGGCUGUUUAGAAACAUAUAGGGAUGCUGUUUGUAAAACGUGCGAUGCAGUGGAUCACAAUAUUAAAUCGAUGUAUCAGUUAAUGGCAAAAUGCGAAGAAUUAUCGAAAUCAAUGGGACCUGUAUAUAAGCUAGCAGAACAAAUUAAAGAGAUGAAAAGGAUGUUGGAGCUAUUUGAGAGUGCAAUGAAUCUGUAAUUUAUAAAGGAAAAAGAUUUUAAGCUUUUACUCUAAUAUGUUUAUGCGAUUAGAGCUCUUGUCUUGUUAUAGAUCAUUUUGGCAGUUGUCUCAAUUUUGAAAUUGUUUAGUUUGAAAAACAUAUAUUUGCUGAAAUUCAACAUUUGUUUUCUUUACACAAAUAUUAUUACGUUGAAUAUAUCGUCAUAAAUGGAAUGCAGGAAUAUUUAUUUGAUACAAAUAUAAGGCUAGACAAAUAUGUUUAUUUAAUUAUGAUUUUGAGCGACAGAGGCGUCUUUGAUAACCUCCAUUAUCUACAAUUGAUACUUUAGUAACUAUGAGAAUCAACAACAUGGUCCUGACUGUCUGCCAAAUUUCUUGUGAUUUUCAAAUUAUCUUGCAUCUCAAUUUAACCUUGAUCAAAUGCCGAGGAUUUCGAAUGACACGAUUUCAUCGACCUUUUAUGAAUAUUCAUUUCUUUGGAUAAGUGGUUUUAGAGAAAAUUACUUCUGGGAAGUGAAUGAUGUGAAUGUUUCCUAACAAUCUUUUCACUCGAUACACUUGUCGAAAAAUAAGAAAAUAAAUUCCCUUGUAUCAUAAUCGUAAAAGAUAUAUAAUUCUUAUUUUGAAGAGAAAUACUGACCUUCAACAAUAAUGUUUUUUCAUAAUCUUGCAUGUAUCAUAAAAAUAUUUAUUGCAACAGAUUUUAUUAUCCUAAUGUACAUAAUUUAAUUAAAUGUUAGCAAUGUUAAUCAACCCUU